CAUCCAGACUCCUACGGGAGGCAGCAGUGGGGGAUAUUGCACAAUGGGGGAAACCCUGAUGCAGCGACGCCGCGUGUAGGAAGACGGUCCUCUGGAUUGUAAACUACUGUCCCCAGGGACGAAGAUGACGGUACCUGGGGAGGAAGCUCCGGCUAACUACGUGCCAGCAGCCGCGGUAAUACGUAGGGAGCGAGCGUUUUCCGGAAUUAAUGGGCGUAAAGGGCGCGUAGGCGGGAACUUAAGUUAGAUGGGAAAACUCCGGGCUUAACCUGGAGACUGCAUUUAAAACUGGGUUUCUUGAGGGCAGGAGAGGAAAGUGGAAUUCCUAGUGUAGCGGUGAAAUGCGUAGAUAUUAGGAGGAACACCAGUGGCGAAGGCGACUUUCUGGACUGUACCUGACGCUGAGGCGCGAAAGCAUGGGGAGCGAACAGGAUUAGAUACCCCCGUAU
This 449-nucleotide ribosomal RNA is filed under the name uncultured bacterium. RNAcentral's name for it is "bacterial SSU rRNA". It matches the Rfam family "Bacterial small subunit ribosomal RNA", at positions 328 to 793 of the family's 1533-position model. The record is from RNAcentral.